Molecule: long non-coding RNA, 1207 nt
Organism: Oncorhynchus kisutch (coho salmon)
Lineage: Eukaryota; Metazoa; Chordata; Actinopteri; Salmoniformes; Salmonidae
Exons: 3
Source: RefSeq, a predicted model, not a curated record
CCGCAGUAGGUUUGUUUCCAGUUUGGAUAGUGGUUAGAUAUUCAGAGCUUGCUCGUCAAUACAUCUUCAACUGAAGGUCCUAGAGAUAUCUUAAUUCCGAUGGUAGAGCGCAAGAUGCCAUCUAUUAGAAGAAAAAGAGCCACACUGGUUUACAGAGACCUGACUAGAGGCUUGAUAGUGCGUACACCCCUGCCAUCAACUUAAAUCGGGAGUCCUGGGAGAACAGAGCUGGUUCCCUCUGCAGCAGAAUUUGUGUCCAGCUACAGUGAUGCACCUCCUCCACCAGCAUAAAAAAAAGGAAGGCUGCGGAUGUUGUGGCCUGGAAGUGGUUGAGGGAGCUACUCCACAUGCCUGCAGUGGAGCUGGAAUGUCCUCCACCCAAUGCCAUCUGCAGUUUGUGUAGAGUUUUGGAGGAGGCUGAUCUAUGGUGCUAUAAGGAUUGUGGCUCAGAUAAAUAUUUCUGUGCCACCUGUGCUGUGAGAACACAAAGCACUCCUAACGAUGUCCAACAGUUAAGGUUAUGGACGGAAAUGUAUUUUAUGUUAUAUCAACAAACCUGUCAAAUUCUGGCUUAAAAAAAUGGCUUCCCAGUCAAAAAUGUUGAUCAUGUAUAGAUACAGUUCAGUUUAUAUAAAAGUUACAGUUCCCUGCAGCGGUAAGGUAAAUGUGAUUUGGUUUGAUUUGGAGUUUUCUGACAACUUGUGCAAGGAAAUAUCCCCCUGAUAGUGUAGCUUCAAAUCUGCAGCUACUGUAGUCUGUCUGUCUUAGUCAGGGCAGUUCAUCCCAUGUGUCCCGUUGGGCAUACGAUGGGAGUGGCGGAGACAAGAUGACCAUGACUGUCACAUCCUGUACAACCCUCUUUUGACUGUUGUUGACGUUAGAGGUAGGCCUUAUAUAACAAUUUGAAACUAAGACUUCUGGCUCCUUUACCAUCUUUCAAACUGUAUCAGAGCAUUAAGUGUAGCAGCACCAUGCUUAGAGACAGUUUCUCCCUCAAAGCCAUAAGACUGGCACCGACUGUACUGUACUUAAUAUACUGUAGUAAUCUACUUAUUUCAUUGUAUUGUACAUAUUGCGCUGUAUUCCUGUGCAAAUGGCAACUUUGAUUUUAUUUGAUUUAGUUUACCAUAACCCUGUUCACUCUUCACUCUGUUGUUAUGAUGAAAAUAUGUUGAUCAAUCUACAUUCUUAAAAGACAUGAAUCUCA